Molecule: long non-coding RNA, 5248 nt
Filed under: Sus scrofa (pig)
Lineage: Eukaryota; Metazoa; Chordata; Mammalia; Artiodactyla; Suidae
Description: lncRNA (ENSSSCG00000053858.1)
Source: RNAcentral
AUCCUUAACCCACUGAGUGAGGCCAGGGAUCAAACCUGCAACCUCAUGGUUCCUAGUUGGAUUUGUUUCCACUGUGCCAUGACAGGAAGUCCAAGUACACACAUCUUUUUGAAUGAAAGUUUUGUCCGGAUAUACCCAGGAGUGGGAUUACUGUAUCAUACAGUAGUUUUAUAUUCAGUUUUCUGAAGAACCACUGUACUGUUUUCCAUAGUGAUUGUAUCAGUUUACAUUUCCACCUACAGGGAAGGAGGGUUCCCUUUUCUCCACACCCUCUCCAGCAUUUAUUAUUUGUAGACUUUUAAUGAUGGCCAUUCUGACUUGUGUGAGGUGGUACCUCAUUGUAGUUUUGACUUUUAUUUUUCUAAUAAUUAGCAAUGUUGAUCAUCUUUUCAUGUGCCUAAUGACCAUCUGCAUGUCUUAUUUAGAGAAAUGUCUAUGUAGGUCUUAUGAUGACAUUUAGAUUGGGUUGGGUUUUGUUGUUUUUGUUGAGUUAUAUGAAUUGUUUUUUAUAUUUUGGAGAUUAAACCCUUGUUGGUUCCAUUGUUACAACCAUUUUCUCCCAUUCUGUAGAUUUUUUUUUUAUUGGUUUCUGUUGAUGUGCAAAAGCUUGUAAGUUUGAUUGGGUCUCAUUUGUUUAUUUUUGUUUUAUUUCUAUUGCCUUGAGAGACUAACCUGAGAAAACAUUUGUACAGUUUAUGUCAGAAUGUUUUGCCUAUGUUCUCUUCUAGGAGUUUUAUGGUGUCAUGUCUUAUGUUAAGUCUUUAAGUCAUUUUGAGUUUAUUUUUAUGCCUGGUGUAAGAGUGUGUUGUAGUUUUAUUGAUUAACAUGCAGCUGCCCAUGCAUGCAUAGAUUCCACAUACAAGUGAUAUCAUAUGGUAUUUGUCUUUUUGCCAGUACCACUUGCUAAAAUAACUGUCUUUUUCUCAGUUUAUAUUCUUUGCUCCUUUGCUGAAGAUUAAUUUACCACUGUAGGUAUAUGGGUUAAUUUCUGGGCUCCCUAUUCUGUUCCACUGGUCCAUUCACCUGUUUUUGUACCAGUAACACAUCGUCUUGAUUACUGUAACUUUGUAGUAUUGUCUGUGAGAGUUAUGCUUCCUGCUUUUUGUUUUCCACCCAAGAAUUCUUUGGCAAUUCUGGGUCUUUUAUGGUUUCAUAUAAAUAUUGGUUUCAUUAGUAUUAGUUCUAUGAAAAAUGUCAUGGGUAAUUUGAUAUGGAGCACAUUAAAUCCAUAGACUGCUUUGAGUAGUAUGACCAUUUUAACAAUAUUAAUUCUUCCAAUCCAGGAGCAUGGGGUAUUUUUUCAUUUCUUUGACUCCUCUUUAAUUUCCUUUAUUAAUGUUUUAUAGUUCUCAGAGUAUGUCUUUCACCUCCUUGUUCAAGUUUAUUCCUAUAUGUUUUUAUUUCUGUUUUGUAAAUAUGUUUAUUAUACCAUUUUCUUUGGAUUCCACAUAUAAUUGAUCUCAUGUGAUAUUUGUCUUUGUCUUUUAUGAUACCUAAUAUGAUAAUUUCUGGGUCCAUUUAUGUUGCUGCAAAUGGUAUAAUUUUGUUCUUUAUUGGCUGAGAAUUGAUAUAAAUGAAUUUAUUUACAAUGCAGAAAUAGACUCACAGACAUAGAAAACAAAUUUAUGGUUAUCAAAGAGUACAGCAGGAAAUGGAGUAUAAAUUAGGAGUUUGGGAUUAGCAUAUACACACUACUACAUAUAAAAUCAGUAAACAAGGACCUAGUGUACAGCAAAGGGAAUUAUAUAUUCAAUAUCCUAUAAAUAACCUAUAAGGGAAAACUAUAUAUUCUUAUAAAUAUAUAUCUGAAUAUAUAUUCAUAUAUAUAUAUAUAACUGGAUAUAUGUUUAUCUUAUAUAUAUAACUUAAUCCAUUUGCUGUAUUUGUGAAACUAACACACCAUUGUAAAUUUACUGUACAAUUUAAAAGUUUAGUUUUUUUAGAGAUUAAAAAAUGGUAUAGUAGUUGCGAAAAAUAAUCAUGGAAAAGGAGGGGGAUUUAGAAAAGGAGUAAGGCUGCUCAUGGGUGACCAUGAUGAGAAGCCAUAGCCCAUAAUCAUAUUUGAUGGCCUGUGUUGCUGAGGUGCUGGGAGAGAGUGAUGUCCCUCAUCCCACCCUAGUAGGAGAAAGGGGCUGGGAAGAAAAUGCAGACUUAAUCUGCACCUCAGCAGGAAGAUGACACCUUCAGGAUAAAAGAACCUAUUCCAUUUUAACUGGGAGUUUUAGAGAAAUGGCCAUUUUUUUCUGAUGAAAGACUGAUAAUUCUCAUGAAGGAAUUUGGGAUGAUCAAGGAAGGACUGGAGGUUGGAUCACAUUAGAGGAUUUACAAGGCUUAUCUGGAUAAAAGUUCGGAUGUUGAAAAAUAAAUUUAAGGGUGGCCCCCACGUGACUAAAUAUGUAAAUCGUGAUGAGAUUAGACCUGAGAGUCUCUUAGAUAGAAAUGGAAAAUCAGAUCUGAUUCUAUUCUUCUACUUAGGAAGUGUUGCAUAGGCACUAGUCCUGCAAAGAAGAUGGAGAUGAUGAACAGAUGAACACUGGGUGGAGUUGGGGUCUCAUAGUAAACAAAGUGAGAUUUGGAGACUUUCUUUUCAUUCCUGCCAAAGGCAGCACUGUGACUGAAUGCAGGCUUGUCUUCUCAGGAGUCCUAUUUCAGGAUGAUGAAAAUAUUUUAUUUAAUUAUUAUAAUAUCUUCAGACUUUAUUUUUCAAUAUUGAAACAUCCUGAGUGGCUACAUGUUUAAUGCUGUGCUGACCUUCAGUUAGAAGGAACAUGUGCUAUGUAUGAUCUCAGCAGAUCUCUUCCAAGUGGCUUAAGGAAGACUUCCAUAGGUUUUAAUGUUUGGUUGAUAUUUCUAUUCCAGGGAGAUUGCCUUAUGGCACAGAAAAGAGGACAAGCAUUCAAAAAUAGACCCAGUAACCAUAAUAUGUUAAGAAACUGGAAAAGAAGGGAAAAACUUGUACUGUAAUUUGUCUAUACCCACUUUCCUGAAUUCACUAUAAAAUGCAAAACUUUAUUUAGCUUUUAUAAAUAAAGGAAUCAAAGAAUUGUAUUCUACAAAUUAGGUGACUCGUUGCAAAGUAACAAUAUAAAUUUGAAUUGCUUAGUAUUUGGCAAAGCAAACUAUAUUCUUCUGUUUGUCAAGGCUGUGUUAAUGAUGAAAGGUUUAAGUAUUUAUUUCAUGUAUAAUUUUCAAUUUGGAGAAUGCAUCCUUCCAUCUUUACUACUGAAUAAUACACUUUAAAGUAUGUACAAAUGCAGUAAACAUUGACAGUAAAAGUGAACACCCCAUUAGUUGCAUAGUUGUAUUUGUCUUACACGAGUUGUAUUUACAAUCUAAGACUAUUGCAAUUUGUUCUGAGGAGUCUGGAGGAAGUCAGAUGGAAAUUAUUGUGUCCUAGAAUUCAUAGAAGUGAAUGUGAUACAGAAUUGCAUAUUUUUUCUUGUUACCUAAAUGCACUUCAGUACCAUAUCCAGUAUUCAGGUCUCCUUAGUCAUAUCCUUUUUUCUUUCUUUCUUUCUUUCUUUCUUUAUUUUUUGCUUUUUAGGGCCAGCCCCAUAGCAUAUGGAAGUUCCCAGGCUAGGGGUCGAAUCAGAGCUCCAGCUGCCAGCCUACAUCCAUAGCCAUAGCCACAGCAUCGCAGGAUCCGAGCUGCAUCUGCAACAUAAAUCACAGCUCGUGGAAAUGCCAGAUCCUGAACCCACUGAGUGAGGCCAGGGAACAAACCCAUGCCCUUAUGGAUACUAGUGUGGUUUGUUACCACUGAGCCAUGAUGGGAACUCCCCAAAUGUUUUCUACUUUGCAUAGCUUAAAAUUUGCCAUGUUUUAGAGAUCCCCAGUGGCCUAAUGGUUAAAGAUCCUGCAUUAUCACUGUUGUGGGGAGGGUUCAAUCCCUGGCCCAGGAGCUUACAGAUGCUGCUUGGAUGAGGCCAAAAAAUACAAAUAAAUAAAUAAAAUUAACCAUGUUAAUUUUACAUGUAACCAUGUAAUCACAUUACAUGUGAAGGCAGACCAUUUUUAAAUAAUGAGUUAAAGAUGUAUUUUAUAAACUUUACACAAUCAGGAGAACUAUUUGAAUAAAAUAGUAAAACUAAGCACUGAAUCAUAGACAUUUAUUAAAAUUCAUUGGAGUCAUAAAAAUAUUAUUUCAUAUGCAAGAAGAAAAUGAGGCAAAGGAGCAAUGGAGCAUGUAAAGAAAAAAACACUAACAAAAUGGCAAAUUUUGAUUCAACCCAAUCAAUAAUUGAACAUAAAUGGUCUAAGUAUUUACACUUAAUCAAAUUUGAUGAAAAAGCAAGACUUAAUUAUAUACCAUCUAUGAGAAACCCAACUUAAAUACAAAGACAUAUGCAGGUUGAAAGUAAAAAACUGGGAGAUGAGGUAAAAUGCCAACAUGAAUUUAAAAAAAAAACUAAUCACAAAAAUAUAAGAAAAAGUAGACAUCUAAACUAGUAAUAUUAAUGCAGAUAAAGAGGAAUGUUAGGUAAUGAUGAAAGGACUAAUUCACUAAGAAGUCACAACUUUAAAUGUGUGUACCUAACAACAACUUCAAACAACAUGAAUUUUAAAAAAUGAUAAAAUAUAAAAGUAGAUCAGUCUACACUUAUUUCUCAUAAUUGAUUGAAAAAAUAGGUAGAUAGAAAAUCAGUAAGAAUAUGGAACAAGGGUACUAUUAUUGAACUAAACUAAAGGAUGUCCUUGAGACAACAAGAACAGAAUGUGCAUUCUUUCCACCUGCACAUGGAACAUUUUUCAGAGAUAGAUGGAGUGUUAGGCCAUAAAACAAUUUACUAGAAAUUGACAAGAACUGAAGUAAUACAAUGUCUGUGUUCUGAUAAUGAAAGAAUUAUACUGGAAAUCAAAUUGGACUAAGAGGCUAUGAAUCAAAAUUUGGGGAUGCAAAUAGCAUAGUAUUUAGUAGGAACCAUGACAAAUGUUUAUGUUAGAAAAGAAGAAAGUUCUGAAAUCAAUUAUCUAUUUGUCACAGGAAGUAAAUAGAAGGAAAAAAAGUAAGCAGAGAGAAUCAAAUUAUACAGAUCAGGUAAGAAAGUAUCAAUCAAAUGGAAGGAGAAAAACAGAGAAGACAUUUCUGAUUCCUUGAAAAGAUGAAUUGGACAGACUGGGAAAACAUUGCUAAAAUAUGAACAAUAUCAGAAUUGAAUAAGAACACAAAUUCUAAAAAUAUUAAAAGAAUAGCCCAUGGAAUUAUUAUGAAGGACUUUUUGCCCAUACAUUUUAUGACUUAGAUCUA